RNAcentral lists this ribosomal RNA (494 nucleotides) under uncultured fungus. Its description in RNAcentral is "eukaryotic LSU rRNA". It matches the Rfam family "Eukaryotic large subunit ribosomal RNA", at positions 40 to 533 of the family's 3401-position model. The record is from RNAcentral. Lineage: Eukaryota; Fungi.
AUAUUACUAAGCGGAGGAAAAGAAAUCAACGAAGAUUGCCUCAGUAGCGGCGAGUGAAGCGGCAAUAGCUCAAGUUUAGAAUCUGUGAUCGUCUCGGUCACCGAAUUGUAAUCUAAAGGGGCUAACAAAAGGGGAAGUAGAGGCAUAAGUUCCUUGGAACAGGACGUCAAAGAGGGUGAAAACCCCGUAUGUAGCCUUUACCGAACCGAAUGUUGACCUUCAAAGAGUCGGGUUGUUUGGGAUUGCAGCCCUAAAUGGGAGAUAAACUUCUUCUAAGGCUAAAUAUUUAUGGGAAACCGAUAGCGAACAAGUACUGUGAAGGAAAGGUGAGAAGAACUUUGAAAAGAGGGUUAAAAGACUUGAAAUCGUUGAGAAGGAAGCGGUAGAAGUGGAUUUAUUAGUUAUGAAGCAACCCGUGUAAGGCACCGGCUCACAGCGGUUAUGUACGUCAUUGGCUACCCGUUGUGAAGUAACGGCACUUUGCGGGGAUUUCA